Molecule: ribosomal RNA, 1349 nt
Filed under: Micrococcus sp. ELM4C32
Lineage: Bacteria; Bacillati; Actinomycetota; Actinomycetes; Micrococcales; Micrococcaceae
Description: bacterial SSU rRNA
Rfam family: Bacterial small subunit ribosomal RNA
Source: RNAcentral
CCAGCUUGCUGGGUGGAUUAGUGGCGAACGGGUGAGUAACACGUGAGUAACCUGCCCUUAACUCUGGGAUAAGCCUGGGAAACUGGGUCUAAUACCGGAUAGGAGCGCCCACCGCAUGGUGGGUGUUGGAAAGAUUUAUCGGUUUUGGAUGGACUCGCGGCCUAUCAGCUUGUUGGUGAGGUAAUGGCUCACCAAGGCGACGACGGGUAGCCGGCCUGAGAGGGUGACCGGCCACACUGGGACUGAGACACGGCCCAGACUCCUACGGGAGGCAGCAGUGGGGAAUAUUGCACAAUGGGCGCAAGCCUGAUGCAGCGACGCCGCGUGAGGGAUGACGGCCUUCGGGUUGUAAACCUCUUUCAGUAGGGAAGAAGCGAAAGUGACGGUACCUGCAGAAGAAGCACCGGCUAACUACGUGCCAGCAGCCGCGGUAAUACGUAGGGUGCGAGCGUUAUCCGGAAUUAUUGGGCGUAAAGAGCUCGUAGGCGGUUUGUCGCGUCUGUCGUGAAAGUCCGGGGCUUAACCCCGGAUCUGCGGUGGGUACGGGCAGACUAGAGUGCAGUAGGGGAGACUGGAAUUCCUGGUGUAGCGGUGGAAUGCGCAGAUAUCAGGAGGAACACCGAUGGCGAAGGCAGGUCUCUGGGCUGUAACUGACGCUGAGGAGCGAAAGCAUGGGGAGCGAACAGGAUUAGAUACCCUGGUAGUCCAUGCCGUAAACGUUGGGCACUAGGUGUGGGGACCAUUCCACGGUUUCCGCGCCGCAGCUAACGCAUUAAGUGCCCCGCCUGGGGAGUACGGCCGCAAGGCUAAAACUCAAAGGAAUUGACGGGGGCCCGCACAAGCGGCGGAGCAUGCGGAUUAAUUCGAUGCAACGCGAAGAACCUUACCAAGGCUUGACAUGUUCUCGAUCGCCGUAGAGAUACGGUUUCCCCUUUGGGGCGGGUUCACAGGUGGUGCAUGGGUUGUCGUCAGCUCGUGUCGUGAGAUGUUGGGUUAAGUCCCGCAACGAGCGCAACCCUCGUUCCAUGUUGCCAGCACGUCGUGGUGGGGACUCAUGGGAGACUGCCGGGGUCAACUCGGAGGAAGGUGAGGACGACGUCAAAUCAUCAUGCCCCUUAUGUCUUGGGCUUCAUGCAUGCUACAAUGGCCGGUACAAUGGGUUGCGAUACUGUGAGGUGGAGCUAAUCCCAAAAAGCCGGUCUCAGUUCGGAUUGGGGUCUGCAACUCGACCCCAUGAAGUCGGAGUCGCUAGUAAUCGCAGAUCAGCAACGCUGCGGUGAAUACGUUCCCGGGCCUUGUACACACCGCCCGUCAAGUCACGAAAGUUGGUAACACCCGAAGCCGGUGGC